This 253-nucleotide ribosomal RNA is filed under the name uncultured bacterium. RNAcentral's name for it is "partial 16S ribosomal RNA". It matches the Rfam family "Bacterial small subunit ribosomal RNA", at positions 524 to 776 of the family's 1533-position model. The record is from RNAcentral.
UACGUAGGGUGCGAGCGUUAAUCGGAAUUACUGGGCGUAAAGCGUGCGCGGGCGGCUUUGCAAGACAGAUGUGAAAUCCCCGGGCUCAACCUGGGAACUGCAUUUGUGACUGCAAGGCUAGAGUACGGCAGAGGGGGAUGGAAUUCCGCGUGUAGCAGUGAAAUGCGUAGAUAUGCGGAGGAACACCAAUGGCGAAGGCAAUCCCCUGGGCCUGUACUGACGCUCAUGCACGAAAGCGUGGGGAGCAAACAGG